Molecule: long non-coding RNA, 627 nt
Organism: Synchiropus splendidus (mandarinfish)
Lineage: Eukaryota; Metazoa; Chordata; Actinopteri; Syngnathiformes; Callionymidae
Exons: 3
Source: RefSeq, a predicted model, not a curated record
GGGGGCGAAACGUACGAUGGAAAUUGUUUACCAGUCACAGCUCUACGUAAACCACAGGCUUGCAGGAACCCAAAACAGCACCGAGAUGAAUUUAAUGCACUCAAAUUCUUUCAAGCUGCCCUUUAACAAAGACACCAGACCAAAAAUGACUCGGCCUUGCUAAGACGAGUACCGCGACACGCUCAACUCAUAGUCUCCUGCAGCGGGACGCCUUGCUUCUGCACUGACCAGCCGCUCAGUCCCACAGCAGGAACGGUAGGCGGCGACAACUUAGUGGUAAACAUAAGAUUGUCACUCACGCGAGCCAAUGAACGGAGGCGUUCGGAAACCAAGGGCGGGGUGAAAGCUUCGUUCUUGCGUGGUUGGUUGCUGGGGAAUUGCCAUGCUCGAGCAGCACGGAAUUAUGGGAUAUGAGUGCUAUGUCAGGGGACUUCCGUUUGUUUGUAUUGAGCAAUACUGACUGAAAAGAAUUACAUCUCCCAUGAUGCAUUUCGUCAGGCUCGCCCACCGACUCCCGCCCCUUCUGUUGUUUAUCCCAAGCAUAAGACAAACAGACACCGGUAAGAACUCAGGGUAGAUGAUGCCAAUGCACACUGCAGGGCUUUUUUAUUAUUUUUUUAAAUGAAA